This is a small nuclear RNA of Nycticebus coucang (slow loris), 141 nucleotides long. RefSeq annotates it as U4 spliceosomal RNA. The transcript has a single exon. The record is from RefSeq and is a predicted model, not a curated record. Lineage: Eukaryota; Metazoa; Chordata; Mammalia; Primates; Lorisidae.
AGCUUUGUGCAGUGGUGAUAUUAUAGCCAAAGAGGUUUAUCUGAGGCACAAUUAUUGCUAAUUGAAAACUUUUCCCUAUACCCCGCCAGGAUGACUUGAAAUAUAAUCAGCAUUGGCAAUUUUUGACAGUCUCUACAGAGA